UGGCAGCAGCAUAGCUAACUAGCUUUGUUGAUACUGUACUUUUUACCAUGAAGAUAUUUCUUAGUUUUUCAUGUUUGCAAGUGUCACGAUGACAAGGGCAGGCUGAAUUCAGAUUGAGCCAAACACAGUGGAUACAAGUGGCCCUCCAGUUUAACUCAAAAGCUGGCUUCCCAAUUACAGAUACAGAUGGUGGCGAGGAGUCUGGUGGCGAUGUAUGGAGGCAGGCAGUGCUGGAAGGCUGGCUGCAAGACGUAAUUGGAGAAGGUGUACCUCUUCUGCUCACCUAGAGACAUUCUCCCUACCCAAGCUCUGCCUGAAGCAGACUGCGAAGACUUUCCAAAAAGGCAGCGACGCGAGAGCCUGCCUAAGGACUUCUGCACGAGCGGCUGCAACACAAAGUCUUGCCAGCAAAACAACAACAACAGGAGCCACAAACCAGCAAGACUGCUUCACAGGACUUCAAACAGCACAUAAAAAGGACAGCUCCCCCUUUUCAUGAACUGGUUACACAACUGGGCUAAUUACACGAGGCUAUGCACAGGACAGUUAAAAUUAUAUUAUUGUGGUGUAUAUCUGCAUUGUUGUAAUAUUUGGUAAUAAGUUAUUGAAAGUUAAUGCUAGUUAUGUGAUGCUCUUUAUAGACCCAUGGUCUUGUUUUAAGGUUUUUGUGAAAAAAAUUACCGUAAUACAUAUAAAUGAUAUUAAACUAAGAUAUUACAAUCAUUAUCGUAAUUUUUAAAUCCUUAUUAAUGGUGAAAUUGCUAGGUUUGAAGUGAAAAAUCGCAAUUUCGGGGGCUAUACAGCCCUAAAACUUGGCCCUACCCCUCCGUCCCAACAUGCAUUGGGACAAUCUACCCCUACACAUGAACGCUCAAAACGAAGGGGAAGGGCUAAGGUGUGAAAUGGGACUGGGCAUAAGUUUACCUACACAUGAAGGAUAAAAGUCUCUGCUGCAACAACAUUAACAUAUUUUGCAUAGAGAGGACAGGUGGUUUGAAACUGGAGUAAAGAGACUAUCCCUUGAGAGAGGAUGAAGUCUACAACACCACUUAUACCCCCCGCCUACAAAGCCCACCUUCUUCCCAGGAGAUUUAACAACAAUUUACUCCUGACCAUCUGUGACAGGAGCUGUUUAAGCCUGCUCUCAGGUGACUCCACUGACAAUAGCUGUUCUUGCAACAGCAAGUAGCACUGACGAACAGUGACAUCACUGACAUUGAUAGAAGUUAAAUAACUGGGACUCAGAAUUGAAAAAGCCUCUUGAUGAGAGGUUGAAACGUCUUCAAAUAUCUAAAUCAAGUGCAAUCGCUCUUGAUUCUUUUUUCUCAUAUACGGUGCAAGAGGAACAACAAUAGGAAGACCAAGGCUUAAACAAACACAAGGAGAAAAGGGUGUAGUUGAAUGUAGAGUCGUUUGUCAGACGACAUCUCAUGCACAGCCUAGGCUGAAGUUCUGGUCUGUCCCCUCACUGUUUCAUCAUAGCUAAACAGUCGACUGCAGGACUUCUUGUUUAACUAUUUCCAUUUCAGCCUACUGAAGUGUUGCAGCUCAAUCACACUCGAUUGGAAAGAGAGGAAGGGGAAACCUUUUGGAAGAAAGUGAACGUGACCUAUGAUGUAAAUACCAGAGCACAACCAAUAUGGAUUUUUGGGGGGCCAAUGCAAAUACAGGAAAGGUGAAAUGGUG
This is a long non-coding RNA of Paralichthys olivaceus (Japanese flounder), 1686 nucleotides long. RefSeq lists it as uncharacterized. The record is from RefSeq and is a predicted model, not a curated record. NCBI's taxonomy places the organism in Eukaryota, Metazoa, Chordata, Actinopteri, Pleuronectiformes, Paralichthyidae.